RNAcentral lists this transfer RNA (78 nucleotides) under bioreactor metagenome. Its description in RNAcentral is "tRNA-Ala". The record is from RNAcentral.
GAUGCAGUAGCGCACGCCGUUCGGCGAUUCGCGGUCGCCGGUAAAGACGUGGCCGAGGUGCGAAUCCCCGGUGCGGCU